Long non-coding RNA from Anopheles coluzzii, 4151 nucleotides. RefSeq lists it as uncharacterized. Lineage: Eukaryota; Metazoa; Arthropoda; Insecta; Diptera; Culicidae. The record is from RefSeq and is a predicted model, not a curated record. The transcript has 3 exons.
GGGUGAAGAAAUGUGAUGAGGAAGUUGUUAGAUAAUGUAUUUGGAUUUAAUAUCAUUUAACAAAAUGUAACAUAUGAUCAAAUCCUUUUGAAAAGGACCUAAAAUUACAACUACAAGAUAAGCCGAAUCGAUGGGGAAAGUUAGGUCAUUUGAACGAUUCAACACCAAAAUCAUACGUUCCCGCUCUUUUCUGUCUUCUAGCCACAGUUUACACAAUACCGACGAAUGUGCAGCAUGCCAGAACGAACCAACACACGUAAAGAAAGUGAGUCGUGGAAAACCGGUUCCAGGUGGAUGAUUCCAUCCCCCAAGAACUCGACCACCUGACCCCACCGGGAACACUGAGCGCGCGUAUGUGUGUGUAGUCGUGGUGGUUUGAAGAAGCUCACGCACCGAUGAUGAUGAUGAUGAUCAUGAUGGCGAUCGUACCGGAAUGGGGGUGAGCAAAAGCAAAGAACCCGUUACGCGCUGACGUUGCGUGGCUGCGGCGAAUGAAUCAACCCGAAUCGAUGGCCACACUUUCUGUAGCUUCACACCGAAACACACUCGCACACUGACCUUCAGGCUUUUGGUCCUCCUGCUGCUUUUUGGCAAACACACUGCACAACGAUGGUAUCAGCAACACCAGACAGCACUGGAGCAAGAUGACGGUACUGCAACACUUUUUGGCCAUUUUUGUAUGCAGAGUGAAAAUCUUCAGUGAAACGUUUAUUAAGCCAGUGAAACGAUCGGUUAAUGCUGAUUUAUUGAUUUUUCGAAGUUUUAAAUCACGAAUUAAAAUUCCAUACUGUGAAUAUUGAAAUGAGAAUGAUGUUUGGAAAACAAAAUGCAAUGCUUUAUUUGAAAACACAGAAAUUUCACCUUACAGCCCGUGUGGUAUGCAAUCCGCGGAACAAACGCCCAAAAGGUAUGCAAUACGCACUGCACAACCGAACUGAACUACGCUGUCAACAGCUGGUGUCCCGUGGAAGCGCCACUGUGCUCGGCUUAGAAAAAAAAACAAUCGCUUCCGUCCAAAAACCGGGUUGCUUUUCGGCCGUUGCUAACCGGCGCACAUGCACCGCGGCGAGAGGCGGCAGCAUUUUGCGCCCGAUCGUCCCUUUGUUUUUAGAUCAUUUGCCAUCCCGCUCACACUUUGCAGCAUUGAACAGCGCGGAAAAUGGGAAGAUGGGAAGAAAACACACUCUGAUUCAAAUUUUCCCGUACCGGUCGGACCCGGCGAAACCUGCAAUUUCGGCUUGUUCUCAAGCAAAAGUACCAGGAGAGCAUGCAGCCGUGCAGCCAGCAGCGUGACCGGUCAACUCCGCACUGGCUGCGUACGUAUGGGAAAUUCAAAUUUUUGCACGUUGAACAGUGGGCUGGUGCGCCGCAGAGGAACAAUUUCGGAUUUUCUUUUUUGUUUAAAUUAACGCAAUACGAAACGCGAGCGGUUUUCAUAUCAUUCCAUGCGCCUUGUCGCUUCGGUAAGAAUUUAUUUGUUUAUAUCAUAUAUAUCUUUGUUUUUUUGUUGCGCACUUCGCAUUCGCGCACAUUACAACGUGGUGUGUUUGUUUUUUGUUUGUUUGUUGCUUGCUUCAUGUCCUCCAAAACCUAAUUCUUUCUUCCUCCCUUGUUCCCACCCCUCUUAACCACUAACAAAAUGCUUCGAUUCACUGUACAAAUGGCCUGCCGGUUUCUUUUUCUCUCUACCAUCUUCUUCUUUCCUUCUCUACCUGAAAAGUAAUGCUUCCUUACAAAUCUAAAACGCUAUACGGUAUUUCUUUAUUUGUUUGUAUCAAUCCUACUACUUUUAAUCACUUGUGUGUUGCGCUUAUUCUUUUAUUAGGAGUCACGCUACAUACAAAUUGUGGGGGGGAUGCGCUGCUUUUUUUCGUUUCUCCUUAUCGUUCCUUUAGCGUGGAGUAUAUUUAUGUAUCAUAAUAUACUUUUCUUCCUGUUUGUUUUUGGUUUAAUUUAUGUUGUUUUAUCGCAAUUUGUUGCUGCUCUGCUGCUCGUUGCCCCCUAAUAUGCGCACUCUUGCUUUCGUUCAGUGUGGUGGGGCUCUCAUUUAAAAUGCUCCGGUUUUUGUAGUAAAAUAUUGGGUGUUUUCACACCAAAAACAAAAUAAUAAAACAAAAAUCGUAACAUGAACGUUUCUGAACAAAGAAAUGAACUAAAAGCACUGCCAAUGCACACCACCCACUGUAAACCGCAUCAUGGGUUUUGGGUGUGUGUGUGUGUGUGCGGUUAGCCGUUUACCUUUCCCCUUUCCAAAAGUUGAUUGAAUUUUCUCCCUUUUUCCCAACCACUUCCCUUACACGUCGAGCAGAUGAUAAAGCUUUCCUCCCAUCCCGUCAUCCAGAAGGGGAUUGCGCGAACGAAGAGGAUCGAAAAUUUAUGGCGAAAAUUAGCGAAUCACACCGUUUUCCCUUACGCACAAACCAACAGAAGCAAAUGAAUCCUUUCCUUGUCCUUCCCCAUAUGGUGUGUGUGUGGUUCGUUCCCUUUUCGACCCUCCCUCUCCCCACCAGAGAGCAUAACGCACUCAAUAAAUUGUUCUAAUUUCCUUGUGCGGCCGCCCUGUCCACCACCAUCCAUCCAUCAACCCUCCCCUUCUGGGUUCAUUUCAUUGUGCGCUGAACGAGUGGGGGGGGAGGGUUGUGUUUUUAAUGCCCUCGCGGUGCCCUUAUUAAGGAACGAUAUCCCUUCGAAGCAGGGGGAAGAGAGAGAGAGAGAGAGAAAGAGAGAGGACGAUGGGGAUAGAAAACAGCGCGAACGAAGGGCUCCACGGAGAGCUCGAACCCGCAAAAGCAUAACUAAAUUAACCUCAUUCACCACAAAAGCUUAAAAUGCGCACAGUACAGUUCGAUGAGAAGGGGAUGGAUCUCUCUCUCUCUCUCUUUCUCUCUCUCUCAUUCUCUUUUUGUCUCUGCACUACGAGAAAAAGGUUUGUGCAGUGGUUUCGACGGGAUUUUGAUGGAAAGGCGGCCCGAAUGCCCCAAAGCCUACUGAAGCUUCGCGUUUUCUGUGUUGUGUGGUGUUUUGUGUGCUGCUUCCCAUAUUACCUUUUACCUUACUGAAAAGUCACUGAGCGAGCGAGCGCGGUGGGAGAAUUUGUAAUCAACCUUGCAAAAAAGAAGGAAGGGAGGGGGGGGGGGGGUGGAAACAGGACCGCAGCAGCAAUCGAAAUGGUUGGGGGCCCCGCUAACGAAAUUAAUGUUCACACAAACAACACUUCUUCCUCACAAUCUCUUUACACCUUCUGCUGCUGCUGCUGCUGCUGCUGCUGCUGGGGAAAACUGCCACCGUCUCUCUCUCUCUCUCUCUCUCUCUCUCUCUUUCUCUCUGAGUCUUGUUGUUUCACUUAUUUACUAUUGUGCAACUGACUGGCCCUAAGGGAGUAUUUUGUGUGUAUGUUAUUGUGUUUUUGUUUACUAUUACUUGUGUUUCUUUCAUUCUCUCUCUCUUUCUCUCUCUCUCUUUCCUAUUUCUUAUUUUAUUUCGUGAUAUGAUUGAUUUUGUUGUAUUGUUGCAUUGUUGUGGCAUUUUUGUUGAUUCUGUUUCUUCACUACUGUAUGUGUGUCUCGCUCUCUCUCUCUCUCUCUGUCUCUCUAUUGCACUGUGUGGAUGUGUAUGUUACGCUUAAAAGCAAAAUGGUAUAAGGAUGUGAGGUGAUUUACACAGCUUUCUAUUGCAGCAAAUUGGAGUCGGGAAUGAUGUUUAUUGUGUCUUUACGUUAUAAAAUUAUAACAACCACCUGGAAUUUCCUGAAUUAAAAAUAAAUGAAACAAAAGUGUCUAUUGCGCGUGAUAAAUGGAGAGCCUAAGCAAUGUGAGAAUAUUAUAGAGUAAAUAAACCUUUAAACCCUUUGCUACCUAAAGCGAGUUGGGGUUUAGUAGUGGGGUUCAGUGUAGAGCUUUGUAAGCUCUGUUUUGAGAAAACAAUUCAAUCUUCUAUUCGCGCAAAGCAACGCGCAUUUGCGCGCCCGCGUAACAAAUGUCGUCCGUUUUUGCGUAUAAAAAUCUUUGGUGGUACGCUGCGCUUACACUUUCACGAUAUCUCCGGCACGGAUUACAUACAAGCGGCCCAGUAUUGUUUUGCAGACACGCAGAUCACUUAAUUGUAUUCUGAGGGCUAGUAAUAGUAAAAACGUAAAAACUCAUACAAAAUAA